UAAAAAUAACAGUCCAGCGUCUAAUACCACCACCACCGCUGACCACCAGAGCAUGGACAACCCAUCGCCACCACCCCCCUCCAAGAGCUGGAGCAUACACACCCGACCUGAAAUCAUCGCCAAGUACGAAAUCCAUGAGCGAGUUGGGUCCGGUGCCUACUCCGACGUCUACAAGGCCCGUCGCCUAUCCGAUAACGUCAUCGUCGCCCUCAAAGAAAUCCACGACUAUCAGUCCGCCUUCCGCGAAAUCGAGGUCUUAAAAAUCCUCCAAAACUGCCCCAACAUCGUCAUUAUGUACGAGUACUUUUGGAGGGAGGACGAGGACGCCGUCUUGGUGUUGGAGUUCUUGAGGACGGAUUUGGUGGCGGUAGUUAAGGAGGGAAAGAAGAAUGGAGGGGCCGGGGUAAGUGUCGGGGAGGUGAAGAGGUGGAUGGUUCAGAUAUUGUGUGGAGUCGACGCCUGCCACAGGAAUAUGAUCGUGCAUCGGGAUUUGAAACCUGGUAAUUUGUUGAUUUCUGAUGAUGGAGUUCUCAAGUUGGCUGAUUUUGGCCAGGCAAGGAUGCUGAUGGAGCCUGGUUCUGUUGCUACUGAUGAGAAUCCUCAGCCGUAUGGAGAGAACCCAGUAGACCAGGAACAGGUUUUCCAACCAGCUGUGAUUGUUCCUGAGAUGGAGAACCCAUCCCAAGAAGCACAGGGAGACGAAGGGCAGGGUGUCAUAAGACGAGAUGAAUCAUUUAGAGAGAUCAUUGAAUUCAAGGCUCAUGAUUACUUGGAGG
Molecule: unclassified non-coding RNA, 776 nt
Filed under: Hevea brasiliensis (rubber tree)
Lineage: Eukaryota; Viridiplantae; Streptophyta; Magnoliopsida; Malpighiales; Euphorbiaceae
Source: RNAcentral